This is a long non-coding RNA of Hevea brasiliensis (rubber tree), 356 nucleotides long. RefSeq lists it as uncharacterized. The record is from RefSeq and is a predicted model, not a curated record. The transcript has 2 exons. NCBI's taxonomy places the organism in Eukaryota, Viridiplantae, Streptophyta, Magnoliopsida, Malpighiales, Euphorbiaceae.
UUGCAAGUACUGCCAAAACCUUGGCCUUGCAAUGAAAGACCUUUACAAGAUUGAAGAUCCCCAGAUGUUCCUCAAUCAAAGGAAGUUCAGUUGUGGCCUAUGACGCUUCAACAGUUGACUACAGCGCCGUGACCUCAAUUUUCCCAGCUGAGGCUUGCGAGACAAUAGGAGGGGAAGCUUGUGAUGUUGAAAUAUAUCCCGAAGUGAAGCUCAAAUCAGUUGCCACAAGCAUCACUAGCACUACUACAGAACAGAUAGACAAACAGUACUUAAGACUACAAUAGUCCCAAGAAGUAUGAUCUCUCUUACUUAACAAAGUUGUUUCAUUUCUGAUAAGGAUCUUCUGUUUGAUGUUU